GCCAGUUCAUGCUUUUACAGUAUGAAAAUUGGUGAUUUAUAAUAACUUAGCAAAUCGCAAAGUGAAAACAGGCGAUAAAUCAUUCAAGUUUCUGACCUAUCAGCUUUCGACGGUAUGGUAUUGGCUUACCGUGGCAGUGACGGUUAACGGGGGAUUAGGGUUCGAUUCCGGAGAGGGAGCCUGAGAAACGGCUACCACAUCUAAGGAAGGCAGCAGGCGCGCAAAUUACCCAAUUCUAACAGUUUGAGAGAGGUAGUAACAAGAAAUAACAAUACAAGGCAGUUAAAAUGCUUUGUAAUUGGAAUGAUAGAAAUUUAAACCCUUUUUAAAGUAUCAAUUGGAGGGCAAGUCUGGUGCCAGCAGCCGCGGUAAUUCCAGCUCCAAUAGCGUAUAUUAAAAUUGUUGCAGUUAAAAAGCUCGUAGUUGAAGUUCUGCUGAAAGUAACCGGUCUGCUUUUAAUAAAAGUGGUAUCUUGGUAUGUAUUUAGCAAUGAUGUCCUUUGAAGUGUUUUUUACUUUAUUGUAAUAAAGCAUAUUCAGGACUUUUACUUUGAGAAAAUUAGAGUGUUUCUAGCAGGCUGACGCUUUGAAUACUGCA
Molecule: ribosomal RNA, 597 nt
Filed under: Hepatozoon canis
Lineage: Eukaryota; Apicomplexa; Hepatozoidae
Description: bacterial SSU rRNA
Rfam family: Eukaryotic small subunit ribosomal RNA
Source: RNAcentral